GUCGAGCUAAAAAUACGAAAGGAGCUUCAAUUGAUUCGACAACGAAAUGGGAAAAGCAUCGGCGACGCAUAUACCUUCGAUGAGCUUCGAGACAUGCACUAUCUCCAUGCUGCAAUUUCAGAAAGCUUAAGAUUGUACCCCCCAGUUCCUGUCGAUACAAAAGCUUGUCUACGCAAUGACAUUCUCCCAGAUGGAACAUUUAUUGGGAAAGACUGGUUUUUCACUUACCAUACAUAUGCAAUGGGGCGCAUGGAGGCAAUAUGGGGCAAGAAUUGCAAGGAAUAUCUGCCUGAAAGAUGGCUUGAUGAAAACGGAAACUGCAAGCAAGAAAGUCCAUUCCGGUUUCCCAUAUUCCAUGCCGG
This 362-nucleotide long non-coding RNA is filed under the name Theobroma cacao (cacao). RNAcentral's name for it is "long non-coding RNA (TCAC_LNC006151)". Lineage: Eukaryota; Viridiplantae; Streptophyta; Magnoliopsida; Malvales; Malvaceae. The record is from RNAcentral.